GGUUAAGCGACUAAGCGUACACGGUGGAUGCCUAGGCAAUCAGAGGCGAUGAAGGACGUGCUAAUCUGCGAUAAGCGUCGGUAAGGUGAUAUGAACCGUUACAACCGACGAUUUCCGAAUGGGGAAACCCAGUGCAAUUCGUUGCACUAUCGUUUGAUGAAUACAUAGUCAAACGAAGCGAACCGGGGGAACUGAAACAUCUCAGUACCCCGAGGAAAAGAAAUCAACCGAGAUUCCCCUAGUAGCGGCGAGCGAACGGGGAGCAGCCCAGAGUCUUAAUCAGCAUUAGCAUCAGGAGAACGGUCUGGAAAGUCCGGCAGUAAAGGGUGAUAGCCCCGUAUCCGAAGGUGUUAGUGUUGUGAACUCGACGAGUAGGGCGGGACACGUGUUAUCCUGUCUGAAUAUGGGGGGACCAUCCUCCAAGGCUAAAUACUCCUGAUUGACCGAUAGUGAACCAGUACCGUGAGGGAAAGGCGAAAAGAACCCCGGCGAGGGGAGUGAAAUAGAACCUGAAACCGUGUACGUACAAGCAGUGGGAGCCCCAUCACACAAGUGCCANNNNNNNNNNNNNNNNNNNNNNNNNNNNNNNCCGAGUCUUAACUGGGCGAAUAAGUUGCAGGGUAUAGACCCGAAACCCGGUGAUCUAGCCAUGGGCAGGUUGAAGGUUGGGUAACACUAACUGGAGGACCGAACCGACUAAUGUUGAAAAAUUAGCGGAUGACUUGUGGCUGGGGGUGAAAGGCCAAUCAAACCGGGAGAUAGCUGGUUCUCCCCGAAAGCUAUUUAGGUAGCGCCUCGUGAACUCAUCUUCGGGGGUAGAGCACUGUUUCGACUAGGGGGUCAUCCCGACUUACCAACUCGAUGCAAACUACGAAUACCGAAGAAUGUUAUCACGGGAGACACACGGCGGGUGCUAACGUUCGUCGUGAAGAGGGAAACAACCCAGACCGCCAGCUAAGGUCCCAAAGUCAUAGUUAAGUGGGAAACGAAGUGGGAAGGCUCAGACAGCCAGGAUGUUGGCUUAGAAGCAGCCAUCAUUUAAAGAAAGCGUAAUAGCUCACUGGUCGAGUCGGCCUGCGCGGAAGAUGUAACGGGGCUAAACUAUGCACCGAAGCUGCGGCAGCGAUAUGUAAAUAUUGUUGGGUAGGGGAGCGUUCUGUAAGCCUGUGAAGGUGUGCUGUGAGGCAUGCUGGAGGUAUCAGAAGUGCGAAUGCUGACAUAAGUAACGAUAAUGCGGGUGAAAAACCCGCACGCCGGAAGACCAAGGGUUCCUGUCCAACGUUAAUCGGGGCAGGGUGAGUCGACCCCUAAGGCGAGGCAGAAAUGCGUAGUCGAUGGGAAACGGGUUAAUAUUCCCGUACUGGUGAUAAUUGCGAUGGGGGGACGGAGAAGGCUAGGCUAUCCGGGCGACGGUUGUCCCGGUUUAAGGAUGUAGGCAGGUGAAUUAGGCAAAUCCGGUUCACUAUAUGCUGAGGUCCGACGACGAGUCACUACGGUGAUGAAGUAGCUCAUGCCCCGCUUCCAGGAAAAGCCUCUAAGCUCUAGAUUAUCAUUAAUCGUACCCCAAACCGACACAGGUGGUCAGGUAGAGAAUACUCAGGCGCUUGAGAGAACUCGGGUGAAGGAACUAGGCAAAAUGGUGCCGUAACUUCGGGAGAAGGCACGCUGGCAUUAGGUGAAGUGAUUUACUCAUGGAGCUGAAGCCAGUCGCAGAUACCAGCUGGCUGCAACUGUUUAUUAAAAACACAGCACUGUGCAAACACGAAAGUGGACGUAUACGGUGUGACGCCUGCCCGGUGCUGGAAGGUUAAUUGAUGGGGUUAUCCGUAAGGAGAAGCUCUUGAUCGAAGCCCCAGUAAACGGCGGCCGUAACUAUAACGGUCCUAAGGUAGCGAAAUUCCUUGUCGGGUAAGUUCCGACCUGCACGAAUGGCGUAAUGAUGGCCAGGCUGUCUCCACCCGAGACUCAGUGAAAUUGAACUCGCUGUGAAGAUGCAGUGUACCCGCGGCAAGACGGAAAGACCCCGUGAACCUUUACUAUAGCUUGACACUGAACAUUGAGCCUUGAUGUGUAGGAUAGGUGGGAGGCUUUGAAGCGUGGACGCCAGUCUGCGUGGAGCCAACCUUGAAAUACCACCCUUUAAUGUUUGAUGUUCUAACGUUGCCCCAUUAUCUGGGGUGCGGACAGUGUCUGGUGGGUAGUUUGACUGGGGCGGUCUCCUCCCAAAGAGUAACGGAGGAGCACGAAGGUUGGCUAAGCAUGGUCGGACAUCAUGCGGUUAGUGCAAAGGCAUAAGCCAGCUUGACUGCGAGAGUGACGGCUCGAGCAGGUACGAAAGUAGGUCUUAGUGAUCCGGUGGUUCUGAAUGGAAGGGCCAUCGCUCAACGGAUAAAAGGUACUCCGGGGAUAACAGGCUGAUACCGCCCAAGAGUUCAUAUCGACGGCGGUGUUUGGCACCUCGAUGUCGGCUCAUCACAUCCUGGGGCUGAAGUAGGUCCCAAGGGUACGGCUGUUCGCCGUUUAAAGUGGUACGCGAGCUGGGUUUAGAACGUCGUGAGACAGUUCGGUCCCUAUCUGCCGUGGGCGUUGGAAGAUUGAAAGGGGCUGCUCCUAGUACGAGAGGACCGGAGUGGACGCACCACUGGUGUUCGGGUUGUCAUGCCAAUGGCAUUGCCCGGUAGCUAAGUGCGGAAGAGAUAACCGCUGAAAGCAUCUAAGCGGGAAACUUGCCUUGAGAUGAGUCUUCCCUGACCCUUUAAGGGUCCUAAAGGAACGUUUAAGACUAAGACGUUGAUAGGUUGGGUGUGUAAGCGUAGCGAUACGUUGAGCUAACCAAUACUAAUGAACCGUGAGGCUUAACCUG
Molecule: ribosomal RNA, 2863 nt
Filed under: Providencia rettgeri
Lineage: Bacteria; Pseudomonadati; Pseudomonadota; Gammaproteobacteria; Enterobacterales; Morganellaceae
Description: 23S ribosomal RNA
Rfam family: Bacterial large subunit ribosomal RNA
Source: RNAcentral